This is a long non-coding RNA of Herpailurus yagouaroundi (jaguarundi), 360 nucleotides long. RefSeq lists it as uncharacterized. The transcript has 3 exons. The record is from RefSeq and is a predicted model, not a curated record. Lineage: Eukaryota; Metazoa; Chordata; Mammalia; Carnivora; Felidae.
CCGGGAUCUCCCGGAGGCCCGGGCUCUCCUUGGGCCCCGUCUCGGCCGUCCUUGCUCACGCCGGGCACACCCUGCGGUCCUGGAGACGAGUCGGAGCAGGAAGAAGGCCGUUCGUCGCCCAAGCACGCCCCCGCAGAGUUGGAAGCAAAGCCGGCACACGUACCUUGGAGCCCCUGGUCUCCGUCAGGCCCGUCCAGACCCGCGCCCGCCGAGCCUUUGUCUCCUCGGUCUCCCUGGGUCCCUGUGGGAAAGCAGCGGAUGUGAGCCCCAGAUGUUCUCACGGUAUUUGAGAAAAACAUCACAUUAAAAAAACGUUGCAGUGCUCGUGGGAGACGGAAUGCGGGGGCCACUCACCUCUGG